Molecule: long non-coding RNA, 529 nt
Organism: Cygnus atratus (black swan)
Lineage: Eukaryota; Metazoa; Chordata; Aves; Anseriformes; Anatidae
Exons: 3
Source: RefSeq, a predicted model, not a curated record
UCCAAGAAAAUUUAAACAUGUGAACUUCCUACAACUCCCCUUUCAUCCUCCCAUGUCACCAGCAUUUCGUCAGAUUGCUGUAGCAACUCAGGCCUAUGCUGUCUCCCGAUCUCUCUUUGCCAAUCCCGUUGUGACACUGCGUCUUGGAGCAAUCUGUUCCUGUCCAUAAACAAUGGGCCUACUUGACGUGGUUGUAUCCACAGCCUCUUGAGCUGCUAAAGCUGCAGAACGAUGUGUGGGGGAAGACAGUGUUUUGCAGGUGGCCUCAUACAUCUCAGGGUUAACCAGCUCAGACAGGGUUUACACAAUCCAGCCAAGGACUUCAGGAGCCCCUGUGCAGCCUUCUGGCAACUCAGUCCACCAAAAUCCUUCUAACAGCCUGGAUCCCAACCACAACAUGUUCCAAACGUGCUGCUGAGGAAAAUCGUAUGCAUCGUGCCAUUUAAUACAAUUUUAACUCCAUUAUCCUUUAAAAAUGCAUCAUACAUGUCUACUGCUUGCAAAAGUUAUCUGUAUUAUAUCAUUUGUA